RNAcentral lists this ribosomal RNA (492 nucleotides) under uncultured bacterium. Its description in RNAcentral is "partial 16S ribosomal RNA". It matches the Rfam family "Bacterial small subunit ribosomal RNA", at positions 29 to 507 of the family's 1533-position model. The record is from RNAcentral.
AGUGAACGCUGGCGGUAGGCCUAACACAUGCAAGUCGAACGGCAGCACAGUAAGCGCUUGCUCUUACGGGUGGCGAGUGGCGGACGGGUGAGGAAUACAUCGGAAUCUACUUUUUCGUGGGGGAUAACGUAGGGAAACUUACGCUACUACCGCAUACGACCUACGGGUGAAAGCAGGGGAUCUUCGGACCUUUCGCGAUUGAAUGAGCCGAUGUCGGAUUAGCUAGUUGGCGGGGUAAAGGCCCACCAAGGCGACGAUCCGUAGCUGGUCUGAGAGGAUGAUCAGCCACACUGGAACUGAGACACGGUCCAGACUCCUACGGGAGGCAGCAGUGGGGAAUAUUGGACAAUGGGCGCAAGCCUGAUCCAGCCAUACCGCGUGGGUGAAGAAGGCCUUCGGGUUGUAAAGCCCUUUUGUUGGGAAAGAAAAGCAGCAGGUUAAUACCCCGCUGUUCUGACGGUACCCAAAGAAUAAGCACCGGCUAACUUCGUG